RNAcentral lists this ribosomal RNA (440 nucleotides) under uncultured bacterium. Its description in RNAcentral is "bacterial SSU rRNA". It matches the Rfam family "Bacterial small subunit ribosomal RNA", at positions 338 to 770 of the family's 1533-position model. The record is from RNAcentral.
CCUACGGGUGGCAGCAGUGGGGAAUAUUGGACAAUGGGGGCAACCCUGAUCCAGGCAUGCCGCGUGUGUGAAGAAGGCCUUCGGGUUGUAAAGCACUUUAGGUAAGGAAGAAAAGUUAUUGGUUAAUACCUAAUGACCGUGACAUUACUUACAGAAUAAGGACCGGCUAACUCCGUGCCAGCAGCCGCGGUAAUACGGAGGGUCCAAGCGUUAAUCGGAAUUACUGGGCGUAAAGCGCGCGUAGGCGGUUUGACAAGUUGGGUGUGAAAUCCCCGGGCUUAACCUGGGAACUGCAUUCAAAACUUUUAAACUGGAGUACGGGAGAGGAGAGUAGAAUUCAUGGUGUAGCGGUGAAAUGCGUAGAUAUCAUGAGGAAUACCAAUGGCGAAGGCAACUCUCUGGACCGUAACUGACGCUGAGGUGCGAAAGCGUGGGUAGCA